AGUGAACGCUGGCGGUAGGCCUAACACAUGCAAGUCGAACGGCAGCACAGUAAGAGCUUGCUCUUACGGGUGGCGAGUGGCGGACGGGUGAGGAAUACAUCGGGAUCUACUUUUUCGUGGGGGAUCACGUAGGGAAACUUACGCUAAUACCGCAUACGACCUACGGGUGAAAGCAGGGGAUCUUCGGACCUUGCGCGAUUGAAUGAGCCGAUGUCGGAUUAGCUAGUUGGCGGGGUAAAGGCCCACCAAGGCGACGACCCGUAGCUGGUCUGAGAGGAUGAUCAGCCACACUGGAACUGAGACGCGGUCCAGACUCCUACGGGAGGCAGCAGUGGGGAAUAUUGGACAAUGGGCGCAAGCCUGAUCCAGCCAUACCGCGUGUGUGAAGAAGGCCUUCGGGUUGUAAAGCCCUUUUGUUGGGAAAGAAAAGCAGCAGGUUAAUACCCCGCUGUUCUGACGGUACCCAAAGAAUAAGCACCGGCUAACUUCGUG
Molecule: ribosomal RNA, 492 nt
Filed under: uncultured bacterium
Lineage: Bacteria
Description: partial 16S ribosomal RNA
Rfam family: Bacterial small subunit ribosomal RNA
Source: RNAcentral